UAGGGAAUUUUUCACAAUGAGCGAAAGCUUGAUGGAGCAAUGCCGCGUGAACGAUGAAGGUCUUUAAGAUUGUAAAGUUCUUUUAUUUGGGAAGAAUGACUUUAGCAGGUAAUGGCUAGAGUUGACUGUACCAUUUUGAAUAAGUGACGACUAACUAUGUGCCAGCAGUCGCGGUAAUACAUAGGUCGCAAGCGUUAUCCGGAUUUAUUGGGCGUAAAGCAAGCGCAGGCGGAUUGAAAAGUCUGGUGUUAAAGGCAGCUGCUUAACAGUUGUAAUGCAUUGGAAACUAUUAAUCUAGAGUGUGGUAGGGAGUUUUGGAAUUUCAUGUGGAGCGGUGAAAUGCGUAGAUAUAUGAAGGAACACCAGUGGCGAAGGCGAAAACUUAGGCCAUUACUGACGCUUAGGCUUGAAAGUGUGGGGAGCAAAUAGGAUUAGAUACCCUAGUAGUCCACACCGUAAGCGAUAGAUACUAGCUGUCGGGGCGAUCCCCUCGGUAGUGAAGUUAACACAUUAAGUAUCUCGCCUGGGUAGUACAUUCGCAAGAAUG
Molecule: ribosomal RNA, 547 nt
Filed under: uncultured bacterium
Lineage: Bacteria
Description: bacterial SSU rRNA
Rfam family: Bacterial small subunit ribosomal RNA
Source: RNAcentral